ACUCAUGCAUGUACCACACUACCACGGCACAGUACAUCACACUGAAAGUUUCAAUGUGUGGACGAAUUUUGUUUGUCUUAAUCUUCCAUCGUCAAAGAUAAGAUCCUACUUCCUAGGGGUUCGAUAUUUUAUCUUUUGGACGAUUUAUCUAUUUUCAAUACUGGUGAUCAGUGACGUAAUUAACUAAGCUCACUUGUUUCCUUUUUUUCUUCUAUAUAAUGCGAUGGCUACUUUGAUCUACCUCACUAAAGAAACAAAAAACAACACAUGGAGCCACAAACAACAAAACAAGAGGUCUUAACCCGAUCUCGAUCGAGCAGCCACGUGGUCCAAGCUUCGUAAUAGAAGACAACCAUCUAGUGAAAUGGGCAAAUUGGGAAUUUCAUCUAAAGCCUGACCCGAGAGCAGGUGUGGUAUUAUCACAAGUUAGAGUACAUGAUCCUGAUACACAAGAGACACGUGAAGUGAUGUACCAAGGGUUCGUAUCGGAGCUUUUUGUUCCGUACAUGGAUCCAUCCGACGCGUGGUACUUCAAGACUUACAUGGACGCAGGUGAAUACGGAUUUCUGACGCGCUCUUCUCCUCAGGCGCACCACACGCGUUCCACUCCAUCGUUCUUGAAGAGCCGGAGAAGAAUCUCGUUAGAGCAUGGGAAAAAGGAAACCCACUUCCUCCGAGAAAAGCUACCGUCAUCGCACGCGUUGGCCCCGACACGCACGUGCUAACCGUUGACCUUUCUUCUGGUCGGGUGGACAUAGUGGAUAGUCCGGUUCCUGUUUCGGGUUACCCGAUGAUGACUCUAGAAGAAAUGAACGAAGUGACGUUCGCACCGUUUUCAAGCGCCGAUGUGAACCGUACGAUUGUUUCUCGUGGAGUUAAUCUGACGGAUGUGUAUUGCUUCCCGUUAUCAAGUGGCUGGUACGGUAGAAAAGAAGAAAAUAAAAGGGUUAUUAAAAGUCAGUGUUACUCAAGCCAAGGUACUGCUAACUUCUACAUGCGACCCAUCGAAGGUUUAACUAUUCUUAUCGAUUUAGAUACAAAGCAAGUGAUCGAGAUAGUUGAUACCGGUCCGAAUAUUCCCAUACCCGGUUCAGCCAAUACUGAAUACCGCUUCAAAAACCUAGGGACCACUGACAAAACAAGAGGUCUUAACCCGAUCUCGAUCGAGCAGCCACGUGGUCCAAGCUUCGUAAUAGAAGACAACCAUCUAGUGAAAUGGGCAAAUUGGGAAUUUCAUCUAAAGCCUGACCCGAGAGCAGGUGUGGUAUUAUCACAAGUUAGAGUACAUGAUCCUGAUACACAAGAGACACGUGAAGUGAUGUACCAAGGGUUCGUAUCGGAGCUUUUUGUUCCGUACAUGGAUCCAUCCGACGCGUGGUACUUCAAGACUUACAUGGACGCAGGUGAAUACGGAUUUGGUUUACAAGCCAUGCCGCUUGUACCGCUUAAUGAUUGUCCACGAAACGCAGCCUAUAUGGACGGAGUUUUCACGACGGCUGAUGGAACGCCGUUUGUGAGAGAGAAUAUGAUUUGUAUCUUCGAGCGUUACGCCGGAGAUAUUGGUUGGCGUCACUCGGAAAGCCCCAUCAGCGGUUUACCGGUUAGUCCAUUUGCUUAGCUGUUUAUAAUUCAAAAUUUACGUAGAAAUAAUUUGUGGUUAUAAUGAUUCAAUUAAAAAAACGAUCUCGAUCGAGCAGCCACGUGGUCCAAGCUUCGUAAUAGAAGACAACCAUCUAGUGAAAUGGGCAAAUUGGGAAUUUCAUCUAAAGCCUGACUCGAGAGCAGGUGUGGUAUUAUCACAAGUUAGAGUACAUGAUCCUGAUACACAAGAGACACGUGAAGUGAUGUACCAAGGGUUCGUGUCGGAGCUUUUUGUUCCGUACAUGGAUCCAUCCGACGCGUGGUACUUCAAGACUUACAUGGACGCAGGUGAAUACGGGUUCGGUUUACAAGCCAUGCCGCUUGUACCGCUUAAUGAUUGUCCACGAAACGCAGCCUAUAUGGACGGAGUUUUCACGACGGCUGAUGGAACGCCAUUUGUGAGAGAGAAUAUGAUUUGUAUCUUCGAGCGUUACGCCGGAGAUAUUGGUUGGCGUCACUCGGAAAGCCCCAUCAGCGGUUUACCGGUUAGUCCAUUUGCUUAUCUGUUUAUAAUUCAAAAUUUACGUAGAAAUAAUUUAUGGUUAUAAUAAUUCAAUUAAAAAACCUUGAUGGUGUUACUUACACUUAAGAUAAGUUACAUUUUGAUUAAAUAGAUAAAGGAAGUGAGACCAAAGGUGACGUUAGUGGUACGAAUGGCAGCUUCGGUAGGUAACUAUGAUUACAUCAUUGAUUAUGAGUUCCAAACUGAUGGGCUAAUCAAAGCUAAGGUACUAUAAUUUCUACUUUACAAUAUCUUCCAAAAAUAAAGAUUUUUUUUAAGUUCCGUGGAACAAUGAAUAUUCGUUUUUGUCACAAACCACACAAAUGUAUGGACAAUGACUAGGUGGGACUUAGUGGAAUUCUAAUGGUGAAAGGGACAUCAUAUCAAAACAAAAAUCAAGUGAAUAAAGAUAAAGAAGGUAACGAAGAAGAGCUUCACGGCACGCUUCUGGCUGAAAAUAUAAUAGGAGUAAUUCAUGAUCACUAUGUCACUUUCUACCUUGACCUCGACGUCGAUGGCCCGGACAAUUCAUUUCUCAAAGUGAACCUCAAGAGGCAGAUGACUGAGCCAGGCGAGUCUCCAAGGAAGAGUUACAUGAAAGCGGUUAAGAACAUUGUGAAAACCGAAAAGGACGCUCAGAUCAAACUUAGUUUGUACGAUCCAUCUGAAUUCCACGUUGUCAAUUCUGCUAAAACCACCCGGGUCGGUAACCCCACGGGUUACAAGAUCGUCCCUAGAGCCACGGCGGCUAGUUUGCUUGACCAUGAUGAUCCUCCGCAGAAGAGAGCAGCUUUUACCAAUAAUCAAAUUUGGGUGACACCGUAUAAUAAGACCGAGAAAUGGGCUGCCGGUUUGUUCACUUACCAAAGCCAUGGAGAUGAUACUCUUGCAGUUUGGUCAGACAGGUAAAUUAAAUGAAAGUUUUAAUUAUUCAUCAUAUAGUUAAGAUUUGAUUGUUUUGUUUAAUUUAAUAUUGGUGCUAUGCAGGGAUAGAGACAUAGAGAACACGGAUAUAGUUGUGUGGUACACACUCGGAUUCCAUCACGUUCCAUGUCAAGAAGACUUUCCAAUAAUGCCUACAGUUUCUUCGAGUUUUGAUUUGAAACCCGCAAAUUUCUUCGAGCGCAAUCCAAUCCUUAGGGCCGCCCCAAACUUCGAACAUGAUCUCCCGGUUUGUGAAGUUAAAUAUGUAUCUGCUUGAAAUGAGUGAAGUACGGAAUAAAACUUAUAGAUUUUUCCUUCUGUAUUUUCGUGGUGCUUUAAUUAGUCAAAACAAUGUUUGUUGCGAGAUGUAAACUGGAAACCGGAUGUAUUAUAUGCAAAUGUAUAUGUGUGUGACCUUUUACUAUUAAAGUAAAGAUUUUAAUAAUUGUUGAUAUACUUUUAAAUUUAAUUUUCUAUGGGACCUUGUCUCUUUUGAUAUUUUGAAUUGCUGAAAUGACAAUAUUUUGUAAAAAAAUUAACAUUCUCAAAAUACCUGUUUGUUGCUUUUAACGUUUUUGGUAAUGGUUGUAUCAGAAAAACUUUAACCCAACCGAUAAUUUUUAAAUCAAACACGAAAGACAACUCCGACUAUUAUGCCAAAUUUGGUGUUUUCAAUGCUAAAUUUGAUGUUUUGGUGUUAUAUUUUAUUUUCUAUUUUCAAUCGUUACACCAAAUUUUCACAUUAGAAAUACUAUUAUUUAUUAUUUAAAUUUUAAUUUUUUUUAAUUUGGUUUUGUUCGAGAUCGCUUGAAUAAUAGAGUAAAUGAAUGGAAUUUCAAAGUUUUUACUAAGGGAAGAAAGAAUGUGAUAAUAAAAUAUGUGGUAACGGUUUUACCAAACCAUGUAAUGUCCUGCUUCCGCAUACCAAAAACGGUGAUGAAGAAGCUAACAAGUCUAGUGGCACAAUUUAUUUAUUUAUUGUACCACACAGAGGUUUAUGACAAGGAGAUCUGUUGUCCCCUUAUUUAUUUAUUUUGUGUACUGAGGCAUUGAUUGUAAAUAUCAGGAAGGUGGAGAGAGGGAAUCAAUUAAAUAUGUAUCUACUUGAAACAAAUGGGCCUUGAUCAUAUUUCAUGUUAAAACAAUCUACGACAAAGCCCGUCUAACGAUCCACCAUAGUUUAUACACUUUUCACUCAUGCAUGUACCACACUACCACGGCACAGUACAUCACACUGAAAGUUUCAAUGUGUGGACGAAUUUUGUUUGUCUUAAUCUUCCAUCGUCAAAGAUAAGAUUCUACUUCCUAGGGGUUCGAUAUUUUAUCUUUUGGACGAUUUGUCUAUUUUCAAUACUGGUGAUCAGUGACGUAAUUAACUAAGCCACUUGUUUCCUUUUUUUCUUCUAUAUAAUGUGAUGGCUGGCUACUUUGAUCUACCUCACUAAAGAAACAAAAAACAACACAUGGAGCCAAAAACUUUCUUCCGUUUGAUUUUUCUCAGUCACCGCCGGUUUCAUCAUCU
This 4589-nucleotide long non-coding RNA is filed under the name Brassica napus (rape). RNAcentral describes it as "long non-coding RNA (BNAP_LNC022527)". The record is from RNAcentral. Lineage: Eukaryota; Viridiplantae; Streptophyta; Magnoliopsida; Brassicales; Brassicaceae.